CAUAGAGAGAGUGAUCGCUUGGAUUGGGGUUUCGAAUACGUACAGUUGGAUUUGAAAUCAAAACUAAAGCUCUUUCCCUCCUCGAAGACACUGCCCUAUAAAAGGACAUCCCAUCGCCCCCGUUCCCGCGAUCUCCUCUUCUCUCUGUCUCCGUCUCUCUCUCUCUCUCUGUCUCUCUCCCCUUUGAGCUCUCGCGAUGGAGCACUCGAAGGCCAUCGCCCCCAUUCCCGCGAUCUCCUCUCUCUCUCUCUCUCUCUCUCUCUCUCUCUCUUUUCCCUUUGAGCUCUCGCGAUGGAGCACUCGAAGGCGAUCCUCGUGGCUCCCGCCCCCUCUGAAACCCUAGCCGCUUCCCGAGGCGAAUCCCUCCUCUCAGCUCUCCUUUACGAGGCCGUCGAGAACCAUGCAAUCAUUCUUACAGAGGACCUUCUCCCAAGCUGGAGGGUUAGGAUCUUGUUCAAAGAUUGGGCAUUUGAUAUCUUCUGAAGUCCGCUCGGUGAAUGAUGUGUCUCAACAGGUACAAGGAGCUAUUCACAACAUGCUUAAGAUGACCAGUGAGAUCGAACAAAGCUCUUGCGAGAUAAUGGAAGAGAUCGAGAAAUGCAAGGAGUCCGUGGCUGUUAGAAACAACAUCUUAGAGGAGGAGAGAGACCGUUUCAAGAAAGCCGCAAUGGCUCUAUUGGAAAUGCUUAAUGGAAUCCUAUAUAUAAGUAUAGGAUUCGUUCAAUAAGAUAUCACUUUGAUACGUUGGUACGAUUUAAACUCGAGACUUUUGGCAGAUUCAAGAUAUAGACAUGUACCUUUUAAUGAGCUUGUAUUUCUUACUUAUUACUAUACUAUAAUUACUAUACUAAUAAUAGUAGUAGUCUUAAGACUUUUGGCUUAUGAAGAGGGUUCCGAACCACUUUCCUUUCCGGUAAUACGACCCAGGGCAGGCUCUCUCUGAUCGAAAUGAAAUGAAUUGCUGUUGAAAUAGGAGCUGAAGCAUUUUUUUUAUCGUUUUUAAGUAUUUUCUAUUUUCAAAGUUGAGAGAGUUAGGAAUGAUGUUGAACUGUAUAUCGAAUAUUAUUACUCUAUUGCCUUUAAAUUGAUUUUGCUAUUAUUUUGUUUUUAA
RNA transcript from Ananas comosus (pineapple), 1111 nucleotides. RefSeq lists it as uncharacterized. NCBI's taxonomy places the organism in Eukaryota, Viridiplantae, Streptophyta, Magnoliopsida, Poales, Bromeliaceae. The transcript is spliced from 5 exons. The record is from RefSeq and is a predicted model, not a curated record.